CUGCAUAAUUGUAACGUUAAUUGCAAGAUUUGUAGCUAACACGUUGAUUAAAUCAUCCUUCAUACUUUAAGUAACGCAAAUCAAGGUUAAAAGUUUUCUGCUAAUUAAGUGCUAAUGCUCAAGAGGGAGAACGAACGGUUUACAUUUUAAUUUUAUACACUUGCAGAAAUUAACUAGAGGUAGCACGCAUCUCUUAAUCCUACGGAUGUAAAAAAGGGACAAACAAUCUAAGAAAGCAAUAUUCAUUUUUUGCCUUCCAAACACAAAUAUUAGCAGCAAAUAUUCAUAAUUUACAUAAACUUUUUGCUUCUGCUACUUCAAUAAUGAAAAACUUUCAAUUCCAUGCAAAACAAGUCAUUCUCUUCUUAGAAAUGUUGAUUCUCAAGAUUGCGCGUUAGAUCAGAUCAUUAGGUCAGCUAAUUCUGCUUAAUUCCACCUGCAAAUUAAAGCCACCAAUCUCAGUUCCCAUAUUUAAUUUGGAGCACAAUAAUUGUAUAAACAAAUCAAAUAGGCAAACACAAUUUGAAACUCACGAGUAAGGGUGGAGAGGUCGGAGCUUUUCAACACACGCAGCCUUUUCACAGUAGACACAAACAUGCUGAAAAUGUCACACGAUAUGAAAUUAGAACAAACCGAAUAAAACAACAGGAAUAAACAGAAACUUUGAAGACUAAUAAUAAUUGUGUACUGAAACCACUAACCAAAUGCCAUACUAGAAUUC
Molecule: long non-coding RNA, 721 nt
Filed under: Nicotiana tabacum (common tobacco)
Lineage: Eukaryota; Viridiplantae; Streptophyta; Magnoliopsida; Solanales; Solanaceae
Description: long non-coding RNA (NTAB_LNC018398)
Source: RNAcentral